Etheostoma spectabile (orangethroat darter) is the source of this 148-nucleotide long non-coding RNA. RefSeq lists it as uncharacterized. NCBI's taxonomy places the organism in Eukaryota, Metazoa, Chordata, Actinopteri, Perciformes, Percidae. The transcript is spliced from 3 exons. The record is from RefSeq and is a predicted model, not a curated record.
AUUUAACUUUCGAUGAAGGAUUCAGCGCAAUCUUCAGUGACAAAGGAACAAGUCUUGUCGGGGAGACCAGUCUCUCUUCACGUGAGGUCAAAUGAGCAGCAAGCUCCCGGACUAAGGCGUGGAACGUGCAGUCUCCUCUCCACAAGAA